RNAcentral lists this transfer RNA (64 nucleotides) under Halyzia sedecimguttata (orange ladybird). RNAcentral's name for it is "tRNA-His". The record is from RNAcentral. Lineage: Eukaryota; Metazoa; Arthropoda; Insecta; Coleoptera; Coccinellidae.
AUUUAAGUAGUUUAUUUAAAAUUUUGAUUUGUGGAGUCAAAGAUAUUAUUAUUAAUCUUAAAUA